UUUCCGUAGGUGAACCUGCGGAAGGAUCAUUAUUGUAUAACGAAGGUGCGUGGCCUGUCGCUUACCCGAAAGGGCGUGCACCCCCGAGUGCCCUCACACACCUCUAUCUCACCCCUAUGUGCACCACCGGGUGGGUCCCGCUUUGGCUUUUUCGGAGGGGGGAUUAAUUUUUCACACAAACUUUGAAUGCAGUCUAGAUUGUAUUUUUUGUUUGUGCGAUCCCGCAAUAAAUACAACUUUCAACAACGGAUCUCUUGGCUCUC
Molecule: unclassified non-coding RNA, 263 nt
Filed under: plant metagenome
Description: partial contains small subunit ribosomal RNA, internal transcribed spacer 1, and 5.8S ribosomal RNA
Source: RNAcentral